CAGCCGCCACGGGAAUACGUAGGUGGCAAGCGUUGUCCGGAAUUAUUGGGCGUAAAGGGCUUGCAGGCGGUUUCUUAAGUCUGAUGUGAGAGCCCCCGGCUCAACCGGGGAGGGUCAUUGGAAACUGGGAAACUUGAGUGCAGAAGAGGAGAGUGGAAUCCCACGUGUAGCGGUGAAAUGCGUAGAGAUGUGGAGGAACACCAGUGGCGAAGGCGACUCUCUGGUCUGUAACUGACGCUGAGGAGCGAAAGCGUGGGGAGCGAACAGGAUUAGAUACCCGCGUAGUCCCUGUCUCUUAUAC
This 301-nucleotide ribosomal RNA is filed under the name uncultured bacterium. RNAcentral's name for it is "partial 16S ribosomal RNA". It matches the Rfam family "Bacterial small subunit ribosomal RNA", at positions 509 to 807 of the family's 1533-position model. The record is from RNAcentral.